Molecule: non-coding RNA, 1025 nt
Organism: Pongo pygmaeus (Bornean orangutan)
Lineage: Eukaryota; Metazoa; Chordata; Mammalia; Primates; Hominidae
Source: the annotation of a RefSeq genome assembly
AUGGUGAAGAUCCGGCAAUUUUUGUUGGCUAUUUCGUGGCUUCAGCUAAGCUGUGUAAGUGCCGCCAAAAAUGAAGUGGAGCAGAGUCCUCAGGACCUGACUGCCCAGGAAGGAGAAUUGAUCACAAUCAACUGCAGUUACUCGGUAGGAACAAAUGCCUUACACUGGCUGCAACAGCAUCCAGGAGGAGGCAUUGUUUCCUUGUUUAUGCUGAGCUCAGGGAAGAAGAAGAAUGGAAGAUUAAUUGCCACAAUAAACAUACAGGAAAAGCACAGCUCCCUGCACAUCACAGCCUCCCAGCCCAGAGACUCUGCCAUCUACAUCUGUGCUGACUGUGUGAAUUAUGGAGGAGGCCAAGGAAAUCUCAUCUUUGGAAAAGGCACUAAACUCUCUGUUGAACCAAGUAAGUGUUGGGGAUUCAAAGUCCUGAUUUAUCAUCAGUACUUUGUCACUCUGGGCAACAGAAUGAAAGGGCUCUCAAAUAGAGAACAGAGAGUCCUGAAUACUCAGAUAACUUUUCCAGAGUGAUAUGUGUUAUGUGUAAUGGGAUGAAGUGGUCUAGAAUGACCUUCCAAUGACUGUUUUGGAGACACACUAAGGAAAUCUGCUUAACAUCCUAUACCCUUAACUUGUUAGAACAUUGGUGAAGUAAAAGCAGUAAGUGCAACUAAAGUACAAUGCAGAGUGAGUGAGAAGAGACUUGCCAACUCCUUUCUCUGUGAUAUCUUCCCCCCACCUUCACCCUUGAACCCUUGCUCCUGUCCAUGCCCCUGUCUGUUCCCAGUCCAGACCAGCACGUCCUUCUGCUGGACAUAGGAAAACUCCAGACUUCAUAACAUGUCACAGGGCCCCCUUCCUCAGAUGGCAGAUCUCAAUGUUGAUCACCUACCUCACUGUGGGGAGUGGUGACCUUGUCAGCAAUGGUCUCCUGGAAGAGGGAAGCUUUAUUUACAUCAUCGAGGGCCCAUGGGUGACCCACAGUCUGUGUGACUGCGGUGUGAUUGGUUUUCAGACAUUAGCUUUAA